UGGGGAAUAUUGCACAAUGGGGGAAACCCUGAUGCAGCGACGCCGCGUGAAGGAAGAAGUAUCUCGGUAUGUAAACUUCUAUCAGCAGGGAAGACAAUGACGGUACCUGACUAAGAAGCCCCGGCUAACUACGUGCCAGCAGCCGCGGUAAUACGUAGGGGGCAAGCGUUAUCCGGAUUUACUGGGUGUAAAGGGAGCGUAGACGGAUCUGCAAGUCUGGAGUGAAAGCCCGGGGCUCAACCCCGGGACUGCUUUGGAAACUGUGGAUCUAGAGUGCCGGAGAGGUAAGCGGAAUUCCUAGUGUAGCGGUGAAAUGCGUAGAUAUCACGAAGAACUCCGAUUGCGAAGGCAGCCUACUAAACUGCCACUGACAUUGAUGCUCGAAAGUGUGGGUAUCAAACAGGAUUAGAUACC
RNAcentral lists this ribosomal RNA (414 nucleotides) under uncultured bacterium. RNAcentral's name for it is "bacterial SSU rRNA". It matches the Rfam family "Bacterial small subunit ribosomal RNA", at positions 355 to 786 of the family's 1533-position model. The record is from RNAcentral.